Molecule: long non-coding RNA, 2065 nt
Filed under: Cyanistes caeruleus (blue tit)
Lineage: Eukaryota; Metazoa; Chordata; Aves; Passeriformes; Paridae
Description: lncRNA (ENSCCEG00000012913.1)
Source: RNAcentral
AUGGUAACCGCGCUGCCAGCGCCACUGGAAGCUGCCGGGGCUGUUGUGACAGCGGCACAUUCUCCCCAUUCUCCCCAUUCUCCCCAAUUUUCCCCAAUUUUACCCCAUUUUUUUUCUAUUUUUUCCCCAUUUUUCCCCAUUUUCCCCAAUUUUUUCACCAUUUUUUUUUCUAUAUUUUUCCCAUUUUUCCCCAUUUUUCCCCAUUUUUUCUCUCAUUUUUCCCCAUUUUUUCUCCCAUUUUCCCCCAUUUUUUCCCCAUAUUUUCUCCAAUUUUUGUCCAAUUUUUCCCCAUUUUUUCCCAAUUUUUCCCCAUUUUUUCCCAAUUUUUUCCCCAUUUUUUUUUCUAUUUUUUCCCAAUUUUUCCCCAUUUUCCCCAUUUUUCCCCAUUUUUCCCCCAUUUUUUUUCUAUUUUUUCCCCCAUUUUUCCCCCAUUUUUCCCCAUUUUUUCCCCAUAUUUUCUCCAAUUUUUUUCCAAUUUUUCCCAUUUNNNNNNNNNNNNNNNNNNNNUUUUUUUCCCCAUUUUUUCCCCAUUUUUCCCCCCAUUUUUUCCCAUUUUUCCCCAUUUUUCCCCCAUUUUUUCCCCAUUUUUUCCCCAUUUUUCCCCCAUUUUUUUCCCAUUUUUUCACCAAUUUUCCCCAAUUUCCCUCUCAUUUUAUUCCAAUUUUUUUCCCAUUUUUUCCCCAUUUUUCCCCAUUUUUCCCCGUUUCCUCACGUGGGCUCACAGCUGGCCACGCCGUCGCCAUGGUAACCGCGCUGCCAGCGCCACUGGAAGCUGCCGGGGCUGUUGUGACAGCGGCACAUUCUCCCCAUUCUCCCCAUUCUCCCCAAUUUUCCCCAAUUUUACCCCAUUUUUUUUCUAUUUUUUCCCCAUUUUUCCCCAUUUUCCCCCAUUUUUUUCCCAUUUUUUUUCCUAUUUUUUCCCAUUUUUUUCCCCAUUUCUCAGACAAUUUUCCCCAUUUUUUUAGUGUUUUUUGUCCAAUUUUUUCCCCAUUUUCCCCCAUUUUUUCCCCAUAUUUUCACCAAUUUUUUUCCAAUUUUCCCCCAUUUUUCCCCAUUUUUCCCCCAUUUUUUUUUCUAUUUUUUUCCCCAUUUUUCCCCAUAUUUUCACCAAUUUUUUUCCAAUUUUUCCUCCAUUUUUCCCCAUUUUUUCCCCAUUUUUUCCCCAUUUUUUCCCCAUUUUUUUUCUAUUUUUUUCCCCAUUUUUCCCCAUUUUUCCCCAUUUUUCCCCAUUUUUCCCCCAUUUUUUUUCUAUUUUUUCCCCCAUUUUUCCCCCAUUUUUCCCCAUUUUUUCCCCAUAUUUUCUCCAAUUUUUUUCCAAUUUUUCCCAUUUUUCCCCCAUAUUUUCCCCAUUUUUCCCCCAUUUUUCCCCAUUUUUUUCCCCAUUUUUUCCCCAUUUUUCCCCAUUUUUUCCUAUUUUCUCCCAUUUUUCCCCAUUUUUCCCCCAUUUUUUCCCCAUUUUUCCCCAUUUUUCCCAUUUUUCCCCCAUUUUUCCCCAUUUUUCCCCGUUUUUCCCGUUUUCCCGGUUUCCGUCCCCGUUUCCUCACGUGGGCUCACAGCUGGCCACGCCGUCGCCAUGGUAACCGCGCUGGCAGCGGCACUGGAAGCUGCCGGGGCUGUUGUGACAACGGGCGCGCGGGUGACAACGAGCCAGGCCCAGCCUGCACUCGUCCACGUCCGGACACCGGCUGUACCACCACCGCUGGUCACCCUGCUGGUCAUCCUCGUCACCGUGGUCACCUUGGUCACCUUGGUGGUCACCUUGGUCACCUUGGUCAGCCUGGUGGUCAGCGUGGUCACCUUGGUCACCUUGGUGGUCAUGGUGGUCAUGGUGGUCAUGGUUGUCAUUGUGGUCAUGGUGGUCACCUUGGUGGUCAGCGUGGUCACCUUGGUCACCUUGGUGGUCAGCGUGGUCACCUUGGUCAGCCUGGUGGUCAUUGUGGUCAUGGUGGUCACCAUGGUGGUCAGCGUGGUCACCUUGGUCACCUUGGUGGUCAGCGUGGUCAUCGUGGUCAUCAUGAUCAUGGUGGUCACCUUGGUGGUCACCGUGGUCAUUGUGGUCAUCAUG